This 246-nucleotide long non-coding RNA is filed under the name Glycine max (soybean). RNAcentral describes it as "long non-coding RNA (GMAX_LNC002624)". The record is from RNAcentral. Lineage: Eukaryota; Viridiplantae; Streptophyta; Magnoliopsida; Fabales; Fabaceae.
AAUAAUUGUGGACACAAGUCAUAAUGGGUAUGAAAUAGAUAGUAUUUUGAGAGAAAAUCCACCUUUUAUACACUCAUAAUUUAUAAAGAUUAAUCACAAUUUUUAGACGUGACAUAGUCGUACCAAUAAUGGUAAAGAAAAAUAUAGAUUGGAUUAAUUCAAUGGACCAGAGUACGCAGAUGAGGCAAUAAGUAACAGACAACACACACUAGUGGUAAUCAUCUCACGGACCAAAACGUGCAAAAU